UUAAGACAGAUCUUUUCGGAGUGAAGACUUUUGUGACUCAUUGGCGGACGGGUGAGUAACGCGUGGGUAACCUGCCUCAUAGAGGGGGACAACAGUUGGAAACGACUGCUAAUACCGCAUAGUAAGAAGGAUUCGCAUGUUUUCUUCUUGAAAGCUUUUGCGCUAUGAGAUGGACCCGCGUCUGAUUAGCUAGUUGGUAAGGUAACGGCUUACCAAGGCGACGAUCAGUAGCCGGCUUGAGAGAGUGAACGGCCACAUUGGGACUGAGACACGGCCCAGACUCCUACGGGAGGCAGCAGUGGGGAAUAUUGCACAAUGGGGGAAACCCUGAUGCAGCGACGCCGCGUGAGUGAAGAAGUAUUUCGGUAUGUAAAGCUCUAUCAGCAGGGAAGAUAAUGACGGUACCUGACUAAGAAGCCCCGGCUAACUACGUGCCAGCAGCCGCGGUAAUACGUAGGGGGCAAGCGUUAUCCGGAUUUACUGGGUGUAAAGGGUGCGUAGGUGGCAAGGCAAGUCAGAUGUGAAAGCCCGGGGCUCAACCCCGGUAUUGCAUUUGAAACUGUUUAGCUAGAGUGCAGGAGAGGUAAGUGGAAUUCCUAGUGUAGCGGUGAAAUGCGUAGAUAUUAGGAGGAACACCAGUGGCGAAGGCGGCUUACUGGACGAUUACUGACGCUGAGGCUCGAAAGCGUGGGGAGCAAACAGGAUU
This 706-nucleotide ribosomal RNA is filed under the name uncultured bacterium. RNAcentral's name for it is "bacterial SSU rRNA". It matches the Rfam family "Bacterial small subunit ribosomal RNA", at positions 62 to 779 of the family's 1533-position model. The record is from RNAcentral.